UUUAGGUCGGGACGGGGUGGGUAACGCGUGGGUAACGUGCCUGUACAGGGGGAUAACAGUCAGAAAUGACUGCUAAUACCGCAUAAGCGCACAGGACCGCAUGGUCCAGUGUGAAAAACUCCGGUGGUAUAAGAUGGACCCGCGUUGGAUUAGCUGGUUGGUGGGGUAACGGCCUACCAAGGCGACGAUCCAUAGCCGGCCUGAGAGGGUGAACGGCCACAUUGGGACUGAGACACGGCCCAG
RNAcentral lists this ribosomal RNA (243 nucleotides) under uncultured bacterium. RNAcentral describes it as "partial 16S ribosomal RNA". It matches the Rfam family "Bacterial small subunit ribosomal RNA", at positions 104 to 334 of the family's 1533-position model. The record is from RNAcentral.